This 224-nucleotide ribosomal RNA is filed under the name uncultured bacterium. RNAcentral's name for it is "partial 16S ribosomal RNA". It matches the Rfam family "Bacterial small subunit ribosomal RNA", at positions 524 to 747 of the family's 1533-position model. The record is from RNAcentral.
UACGUAGGGUGCAAGCGUUGUCCGGAAUUAUUGGGCGUAAAGAGCUCGUAGGCGGUCUGUCGCGUCUGCUGUGAAAACUCAGGGCUUAACCCUGAGCUUGCAGUGGGUACGGGCAGACUAGAGUGCGGUAGGGGAGACUGGAAUUCCUGGUGUAGCGGUGAAAUGCGCAGAUAUCAGGAGGAACACCGGUGGCGAAGGCGGCCAACUGGACGAACACUGACGCU